RNAcentral lists this ribosomal RNA (1203 nucleotides) under Triticum aestivum (bread wheat). Its description in RNAcentral is "partial small subunit ribosomal RNA". The record is from RNAcentral. Lineage: Eukaryota; Viridiplantae; Streptophyta; Magnoliopsida; Poales; Poaceae.
AUGAACCCCCUAGCUAGCCCAGGACCGGAUGGCUUCGGCCCGCUGUUCUACAAAAAAUACUGGAACCUGGUUAAGGCUCACAUCCACUCCUUCAUGACGGACUUCCAAAACCUUAACGCCCAAACUGAAAGCCUUAACAGAGCUCACCUCAUUCUACUACCCAAAAAAGAUCAUGCCAACACUGCCGACGCAUACCGCCCGAUCUCCCUCCAAAAUUGUCCCAUCAAAGCCGUUGCGAAAGUGCUUACCAACAGACGAAAACCAAUAAUACCACUGCUUGUCCAUGGCAACCAAACUGGGUUCAUCCCAGGGCGUAGCAUAGCCGAAAACUUUAUCUUCGCUGCAGACCUCAUAGGCGCAUGCCAUACUAGAAAAGCCCCAACCAUGGUCAUUAAAUUGGACUUUAGCAAAGCCUUCGACUCCCUCUCUUGGGACUCUCUUACUUCCAUCUUACGCUGCCGCGGCUUCCCGCCAAAAUUCUCAUCAUGGGUUCAUGACCUCCUAGCAACCGGGAAAACUGCCGUCAUGUUGAAUGGGAUCCCCGGAAACUGGAUAAAUUGCAAAAAUGGGCUCAGGCAGGGUGACCCUAUCUCGCCCUACCUCUUCAUCAUCGUUGCUGAUCUCCUACAACAAAUGAUCCAGCAAGACUGCGAUCUAGCUCAUCUCAGUCACCCCCUGUUCUCACAUCUCCCGCCAACCGUCUUACAAUAUGCUGAUGACACCCUCAUCAUCGCCAAGGCAUCCAAUCCCGCUGCUCAACAGUUAAAAUACAUCCUUCACGAUUUCGCCAUGGCCACUGGCCUCACUAUCAACUUCACAAAAACAACGUUCGUACCCAUGCACAUCAGCACUGCCAUGGUAGACUCCAUUGCCUCCACCUUGCACUGCCCAACCUCAAGCUUUCCGCAGAUCUACCUAGGCCUUCCCCUAACACCCACACGACUACCUACAAAUGCCUUCCUACCGAUCAUCGAACGUUGCCGUAAAUUCUUGACGGGCUGGCGCGCAAAAAUCCUCUCCAAAGGGGAUAGGCUCAUCCUAUUAUCGGCUGUCCUCGACUCCCUUCUAGUCUACUUCAUGUCAGUCUUCCCCAUUCCCAAGAGUGUUCUAAAAACCCUAGACUCUUCGAUGAGCCUUCUUUUGGGCUGCGGAGGAAACUUGCACUGGUGCUCAAUGCUUAGUUGCCUGGAAAAAUGUGUGUAA